AAAUCUGGCCCAAGAGUUUGGCGGAGCGUCCGUGUCAUCAAAAAUCAAAUGUACAAAUCCCGCGUGCUACAAGGGAAAAGGGUGAUGGCGUCCACGUUUGAGCUGACUGGGAUGUCUUGAAGAUGGACGGCCUAGAUUGGACAAUGCGAAAUGAUUUUGACCGCCUCCGUCACCUUGCCAAAGCGUUACCGAACAUUAUUAUUCUUUUAUUGGCCGAGAAAGAAAAAGCUUUAAUUAAAAGCCGGCACCAAGGACUGCAGGUGAGUCAGGGGUAUGUGUGCUAAC
Molecule: long non-coding RNA, 285 nt
Filed under: Theobroma cacao (cacao)
Lineage: Eukaryota; Viridiplantae; Streptophyta; Magnoliopsida; Malvales; Malvaceae
Description: long non-coding RNA (TCAC_LNC005640)
Source: RNAcentral